CUUGGGGACACUCAGGCAACUUCCCUAUGGAAAGGAUUUUAUGGCAGAGGACUGAGGUUUCCAGUCAACAGCCAGGAAGCAACUGAAGCUUGCCAAUAACCUUGUAAAUGAUGUUUGCUAAUCUGUUGGUGGAAAGUAGUAUCUCAUUAAAGUUUUAACAUGCUGUUUUCUAAUUUGAGUGAUAUUAGGCAUAUUUUAACAUGUUUAAAGGUAUUUUUAUGAGGAAGACAAGAAAUAAAAACACAGACUCCAUAUUCAAUGACAUUAGGAAACAUCUUUAACCUGAAGGCAUAGUAUAUGAAGGCUAAAAGUGGAUGGAGAAAUGAAAAAUGACUUAGCAAGGCAGAGGAAAUUCAAACCUAGGUACUGCAGAGGAAGAGAACACCAGCAAGAAGCACACUAAUUUGUCUUAUGGAACCUCAGAAAGCCACAGCAGGAGACAGAAGCUGUCUUCUCUGGAGAAAUUGAACUAGAAAGGAUGUGGACUUGAGUAUAUCAGGUUCUAAGGAAUGGCCACUUUGUCUCAAAUGGAGGAAUCAGUCAUCAGGAACCCUUGGGCUUUCCACACUUUAAGUGGCAACCUGGAGGAGGAAAAGAGGACAGCUUCAGCUUUUAAGGGCUCUUGGCUCAAAUUUCUACAAGAAUGAAACAGAAAAAGCUGACAUAAUGUUAAAGAGGAUUUAGAAGAUCUGAAAAACACGGUUCACAAGCUUGAUUUAAUGGAUACAGCCAGAAUCCUUCACGUAGUGGAGAGUACAUGUUUUCUAAGUACAUGUUCUAUAAGUAAAUGUGAAAAACUUGAAAAUUUGGCUACGAAGCCAGUCUCAAGUAAUACUGAGAAAGUUGAUAUUAUACAGACCACAUUUCUUUUUACCAUAAUAUAAUACAACUAUGAAUCAACAAUAAAAAGCCCUGCACCCCGCAAUAGAGUGACUUUCAGUUUCUGGCUUAAGCAAUUAGGUAGAUAGUACUUAUGUCAUUUAUUGAGAUUGAAAAGACUGAAGGAAAACCUUUUUAAGGGAGGGUGGAAAUGGGGUCACAGAAAAGAUAAAUCAGUUUAGAGAGGUCUGGCCAACCAACACCUAGCAAGGUAUUGGGAUAGACGUACCUCAAAUAAUUCAUCAGCCAUAGAUUUAAUGUGUCUGCUAUAACCACACUUCUUUUCUAGGAGCCCUUUUUCUGUUUUGAGAUUUUUGUAAAUUUGAGUUUGAAAAUUACGAGUUAAAGUAAUAUUGUCAUAUUAAUUGGUUAUGCUGCCACCCAGUGAUAGAUUUUAGAAUAGCAGAUAUAUCUUUUUUUAGAUGAAUUCCUAUUUUUUUAAUUAAAGAAAGCAAAGAUUAUAAAAUAAUCUAUUUCAUUGUUCAAAAUAUUGCCAUCUUAUCUCUACAUUAUACAUUAUUUUAUGUAUCCCAAACUAUCAGUAUUGCCUUUAUAUUCAACUAUUAAUAUUGCAAAAGUUUAGAUCCCCCCAAUGGAAAAAGCUUAAUGUACAAAAGUUAUUCAAAUAGCUAAUAUUUGUUGAAUGCUUAGUGUGUUCCAGGCACUACUGUAAGUUCUUCUUGUUCUUUUCUUUUU
Symphalangus syndactylus (siamang) is the source of this 1575-nucleotide long non-coding RNA. RefSeq lists it as uncharacterized. The record is from RefSeq and is a predicted model, not a curated record. Lineage: Eukaryota; Metazoa; Chordata; Mammalia; Primates; Hylobatidae.